Long non-coding RNA from Octopus sinensis (East Asian common octopus), 123 nucleotides. RefSeq lists it as uncharacterized. NCBI's taxonomy places the organism in Eukaryota, Metazoa, Mollusca, Cephalopoda, Octopoda, Octopodidae. The record is from RefSeq and is a predicted model, not a curated record. The transcript has 4 exons.
CUAUUUUGAAUUCCAUGAUAACAUCUAUUGACAAAAAUCGGGGACUGCGAUGGGUACGAGAAUGGACCCCUCCUUUGCUAACCUAGUCGUGGGAUAUCUAGAAAUUAGUCUUUAUUGUACGGU